RNAcentral lists this ribosomal RNA (430 nucleotides) under Microbacterium paraoxydans. Its description in RNAcentral is "bacterial SSU rRNA". It matches the Rfam family "Bacterial small subunit ribosomal RNA", at positions 28 to 455 of the family's 1533-position model. The record is from RNAcentral. Lineage: Bacteria; Bacillati; Actinomycetota; Actinomycetes; Micrococcales; Microbacteriaceae.
GAUGAACGCUGGCGGCGUGCUUAACACAUGCAAGUCGAACGGUGAACACGGAGCUUGCUCUGUGGGAUCAGUGGCGAACGGGUGAGUAACACGUGAGCAACCUGCCCCUGACUCUGGGAUAAGCGCUGGAAACGGCGUCUAAUACUGGAUAUGUGACGUGACCGCAUGGUCUGCGUUUGGAAAGAUUUUUCGGUUGGGGAUGGGCUCGCGGCCUAUCAGCUUGUUGGUGAGGUAAUGGCUCACCAAGGCGUCGACGGGUAGCCGGCCUGAGAGGGUGACCGGCCACACUGGGACUGAGACACGGCCCAGACUCCUACGGGAGGCAGCAGUGGGGAAUAUUGCACAAUGGGCGGAAGCCUGAUGCAGCAACGCCGCGUGAGGGAUGACGGCCUUCGGGUUGUAAACCUCUUUUAGCAGGGAAGAAGCGAAA